RNAcentral lists this ribosomal RNA (478 nucleotides) under uncultured organism. RNAcentral describes it as "partial 16S ribosomal RNA". It matches the Rfam family "Bacterial small subunit ribosomal RNA", at positions 332 to 801 of the family's 1533-position model. The record is from RNAcentral.
UACACUCCUGCGGGAGGCAGCAGUGGGGAAUAUUGCCCAAUGGGCGCAAGCCUGAUGCAGCCAUGCCGCGUGUAUGAAGAAGGCCUUCGGGUUGUAAAGUACUUUCAGCGGGGAGGAAGGCGAUAAGGUUAAUAACCUUGUCGAUUGACGUUACCCGCAGAAGAAGCACCGGCUAACUCCGUGCCAGCAGCCGCGGUAAUACGGAGGGUGCAAGCGUUAAUCGGAAUUACUGGGCGUAAAGCGCACGCAGGCGGUCUGUCAAGUCGGAUGUGAAAUCCCCGGGCUCAACCUGGGAACUGCAUUCGAAACUGGCAGGCUAGAGUCUUGUAGAGGGGGGUAGAAUUCCAGGUGUAGCGGUGAAAUGCGUAGAGAUCUGGAGGAAUACCGGUGGCGAAGGCGGCCCCCUGGACAAAGACUGACGCUCAGGUGCGAAAGCGUGGGGAGCAAACAGGAUUAGAAACCCGUGUAGUCCCAUGAU